RNAcentral lists this ribosomal RNA (238 nucleotides) under Burkholderia contaminans. RNAcentral's name for it is "partial 23S ribosomal RNA". It matches the Rfam family "Bacterial large subunit ribosomal RNA", at positions 2693 to 2925 of the family's 2925-position model. The record is from RNAcentral. Lineage: Bacteria; Pseudomonadati; Pseudomonadota; Betaproteobacteria; Burkholderiales; Burkholderiaceae.
CGGAGUGGACGAACCUCUGGUGUACCGGUUGUCACGCCAGUGGCAUCGCCGGGUAGCUAUGUUCGGAAGAGAUAACCGCUGAAAGCAUCUAAGCGGGAAACUCGCCUUAAGAUGAGAUAUCCCUGGGAACUAGAUUCCCUUGAAGGGUCGUUCGAGACCAGGACGUUGAUAGGUCAGGUGUGUAAGCGCAGUAAUGCGUUCAGCUAACUGAUACUAAUUGCCCGUAAGGCUUGAUCCU